This 445-nucleotide ribosomal RNA is filed under the name uncultured Rhodococcus sp. RNAcentral's name for it is "bacterial SSU rRNA". It matches the Rfam family "Bacterial small subunit ribosomal RNA", at positions 337 to 794 of the family's 1533-position model. The record is from RNAcentral. Lineage: Bacteria; Bacillati; Actinomycetota; Actinomycetes; Mycobacteriales; Nocardiaceae.
UCCUACGGGAGGCAGCAGUGGGGAAUAUUGCACAAUGGGCGAAAGCCUGAUGCAGCGACGCCGCGUGAGGGAUGACGGCCUUCGGGUUGUAAACCUCUUUCAGCAGGGACGAAGCGAAAGUGACGGUACCUGCAGAAGAAGCACCGGCCAACUACGUGCCAGCAGCCGCGGUAAUACGUAGGGUGCAAGCGUUGUCCGGAAUUACUGGGCGUAAAGAGCUCGUAGGCGGUUUGUCGCGUCGUCUGUGAAAACUCGAGGCUCAACCUCGAGCUUGCAGGCGAUACGGGCAGACUUGAGUACUGCAGGGGAGACUGGAAUUCCUGGUGUAGCGGUGAAAUGCGCAGAUAUCAGGAGGAACACCGGUGGCGAAGGCGGGUCUCUGGGCAGUAACUGACGCUGAGGAGCGAAAGCGUGGGUAGCGAACAGGAUUAGAUACCCUGGUAGA